GAUGAACGCUGGCGGCGUGCCUAAUACAUGCAAGUCGAGCGAACAGAUGAGGAGCUUGCUCCUCUGACGUUAGCGGCGGACGGGUGAGUAACACGUGGAUAACCUACCUAUAAGACUGGGAUAACUUCGGGAAACCGGAGCUAAUACCGGAUAAUAUAUUGAACCGCAUGGUUCAAUAGUGAAAGACGGUUUUGCUGUCACUUAUAGAUGGAUCCGCGCCGCAUUAGCUAGUUGGUAAGGUAACGGCUUACCAAGGCAACGAUGCGUAGCCGACCUGAGAGGGUGAUCGGCCACACUGGAACUGAGACACGGUCCAGACUCCUGCGGGAGGCAGCAGUAGGGAAUCUUCCGCAAUGGGCGAAAGCCUGACGGAGCAACGCCGCGUGAGUGAUGAAGGUCUUCGGAUCGUAAAACUCUGUUAUUAGGGAAGAGCAAAUGUGUAAGUAACUAUGCACGUCUUGACGGUACCUAAUCAGAAAGCCACGGCUAACUACGUG
This 497-nucleotide ribosomal RNA is filed under the name uncultured bacterium. Its description in RNAcentral is "partial 16S ribosomal RNA". It matches the Rfam family "Bacterial small subunit ribosomal RNA", at positions 28 to 507 of the family's 1533-position model. The record is from RNAcentral.